CACCGUUCAAUACGAGCAGGAAUUUCUUCAGGGAUCUGCUCAUCUUCUCUUCUUCACUUGAUACUUGGUUAUUACUAAUGUCGGUCUCCAUCUUUGCAAGCCAGUAUCCGCUCUCUCAUGAAGCACAAUUCACAGAAUGGAUCCUGACGGCGAUAUUGCAAAAGUUCUCUAUAACAGGCUUAUUUGUACCUCUUUGAACAAGAUUUUCUAGGCUCCCACCACCUCAAAAUCAAAGAACCCCAGA
Molecule: unclassified non-coding RNA, 244 nt
Filed under: Hevea brasiliensis (rubber tree)
Lineage: Eukaryota; Viridiplantae; Streptophyta; Magnoliopsida; Malpighiales; Euphorbiaceae
Source: RNAcentral